GACGAACGCUGGCGGCGUGGAUUAGGCAUGCAAGUCGAACGGUAUCAUCCUUUCGGGGGUGAGAGAGUGGCGAACUGGUGAGUAACACGUAGGUUAUCUACCCUCAAGACGGGGACAACCCAGGGAAACUUGGGCUAAUACCGGAUGUGAGCAACUUUUAGUUGUUUGAAAGGUGGCGUAAGCUGUCGCUUGGGGAUGAGCCUGCGUCCUAUUAGUUAGUUGGUGAGGUAACGGCUCACCUAGGCAAUGAUAGGUAGGCGGCCUUAACGGGUGGUCGCCCACACUGGGAUUGAGAUACGGCCCAGACUCCUACGGGAGGCAGCAGUCGAGAAUAGUCUACAAUGGUCGGAAGACUGAUAGUGCGACGCCGCGUGAACGAUGAAUCCCUUCGGGGUUAAAGUUCUUUAUAUGUGAGCAGUGCUUCUUAUAUUAACAGUAUGGGGGAAGAAGUAUAUAGACUAUAUAGUAAAUAACGACGAACGUACUAACCGUUCGUCGACCACGACGACGGCCGGUAAACGUAAACUCCG
RNAcentral lists this ribosomal RNA (530 nucleotides) under uncultured bacterium. Its description in RNAcentral is "bacterial SSU rRNA". It matches the Rfam family "Bacterial small subunit ribosomal RNA", at positions 37 to 537 of the family's 1533-position model. The record is from RNAcentral.